GACGAACGCUGGCGGCGUGCUUAACACAUGCAAGUCGAACGGAAAGGCCCUGCUUUUGUGGGGUGCUCGAGUGGCGAACGGGUGAGUAACACGUGAGUAACCUGCCCUUGACUUUGGGAUAACUUCAGGAAACUGGGGCUAAUACCGGAUAGGAGCUCCUGCUGCAUGGUGGGGGUUGGAAAGUUUCGGCGGUUGGGGAUGUACUCGCGGCUUAUCAGCUUGUUGGUGGGGUAGUGGCUUACCAAGGCUUUGACGGGUAGCCGGACUGAGAGGGUGACCGGCAACAUUGGGACUGAGAUACGGCCCAGACUCCUACGGGAGGCAGCAGUGGGGAAUAUUGCAAAAUGGGCGGAGGCCUGAUGCAGAAACGCCGCGUGCGGGAUGACGGCCUUCGGGUUGUAAACCGCUUUCGCCUGUGACGAAGCGUGAGUGACGGUAAUGGGUAAAGAAGCACCGGCUAACUACGUG
Molecule: ribosomal RNA, 468 nt
Filed under: uncultured bacterium
Lineage: Bacteria
Description: partial 16S ribosomal RNA
Rfam family: Bacterial small subunit ribosomal RNA
Source: RNAcentral